Molecule: ribosomal RNA, 26 nt
Filed under: Skrjabinisakis physeteris
Lineage: Eukaryota; Metazoa; Nematoda; Chromadorea; Rhabditida; Anisakidae
Description: Anisakis physeteris partial 5.8S ribosomal RNA
Source: RNAcentral
CAAAUCUUGGCGGUGGAUCACUCGGU